Molecule: ribosomal RNA, 490 nt
Filed under: uncultured bacterium
Lineage: Bacteria
Description: partial 16S ribosomal RNA
Rfam family: Bacterial small subunit ribosomal RNA
Source: RNAcentral
AUUGAACGCUGGCGGCAGGCCUAACACAUGCAAGUCGAACGGUAACAGGAAGAAGCUUGCUUCUUUGCUGACGAGUGGCGGACGGGUGAGAAAUGUCUGGGAAACUGCCUAAUGGAGGGGAAGAACUACUGGAAACGGUAGCUAAUACCGCAUAACGUCGCAAGACCAAAGAGGGGGACCUGCGGGCCUCUUGCCAUCGGAUGUGCCCGGAUGGGAUUAGCUAGUAGGGGGGGUAACGUCUCACCAAGGCGACGAUCACUAGCUGGUCUGAGAGGGUGACGAGCCACACUGGGACUGAGACACGGCCCAGACUCUUACGGGCGGCCGCGGCUGCGACUAUUGGACACUGGGCGGAAGCCUGCUGCAGCCAGGCCGCGCGUAUGCAGAAGGGCUUCGGGUUGUAUAGUACUUUUAGCGGGGAGGAAGGGAGUAAAGAUAAUACCUUUGCUUAUUGACGUUACCUGCAGAAGAAGCACCGGCUAACUCCGUG